Molecule: long non-coding RNA, 628 nt
Organism: Leptinotarsa decemlineata (Colorado potato beetle)
Lineage: Eukaryota; Metazoa; Arthropoda; Insecta; Coleoptera; Chrysomelidae
Source: RefSeq, a predicted model, not a curated record
UAUAUUGGAGUGCUAUGCUUACUCAAAAUUUCAUACUAUUACAACUUCCUGUGAAUAAUAAAUAACAUGUACAAUAUUUCUAAUUGUCAGUAAGUAAUCACCUCAUAAUUUUAGGUACGGCUGCAUUUUCUUGCGAAACCUGCAACAGAGUAUAUAAAGCGAAAAGUUCCCUGUGGAGACAUAUGAAAUUUGAGUGUCGUCAGCCGCCACAAUUCAAAUGUAACAUGUGUUCCUAUCGAGCAAAACAGAAAUCAAGUUUGAUGUCCCACGUAUUCAACAGACAUUCCGUUUUUUUGAAAAAAUAUAUUCGGUCAUGAAUUCCAUAAAAAAAUAUGCCGAACACGUUUGUAGGAAUUGCGGAAAAAGUUACAUUUACAUAAAAAGACUGUAUCGCCAUAUGCAACAAGAAUGUGGUGUGGAGAGGAAAUUCGAAUGUCCCAAAUGUCACAAGAAAUUCAAACUGAAGCACCAUUUGAAGAAUCAUUUAAAUGCGUUGUAUGAUUGUGUCUCGAAGAAUAUCGAUCCAAAAUACAUUUUGUCAAAAUAAUGAGAGAUAUUAUCCGGUGGAAUCUUCAGUUAUAGUUUGAUUACAUGUGGUAUUUUGUAGAAAUAAGAAAUAUUAAACUGA